UCGUUGCCUCUCGAAAAACACGACCGUCGCACGCGUGACAGAAUGCUGCCGGGGCGGCGCCCGCCGCCUCCCCGGCCCCACCGGCCUCGRCCCCCUCGCCCUCCGGGCGCGUCGGUCGCYGGCCGGAACACGGCGCGGAUGACGCCAAGGAACACGAGAAAGCKGAGGCACCGGCGAGCCGCUCGCCGGCUGCCGACGCCAACSAAUAAGAAAAUAUGACUCUCGGCAACGGAUAUCUCGGCUCUCGCAUCGAUGAAGAACGUAGCGAAAUGCGAUACGUGGUGUGAAUUGCAGAAUCCCGUGAACCAUCGAGUCUUUGAACGCAAGUUGCGCCCGAGGGACCCUCCCGAGGGCACGCCUGCCUCAUGGGCGUUAGAAGCCCAUCCACGCUCGGCUGCCUCACGGCAGAGAUGCGGACAUUGGCCCUCCGAGCCGCGAGGCGCGGUGGGCCYAAGUGUGCGGCCGUCGUACGUGGCCGGGAGCGGCGAGUGGUGGGCUACUGCGCACGCCACCCCGAGCCCCGCACCGACACAGGGCCUUGUCCGACCCCCUAACGAGGAGCACGCCGCAGCGGCUCGCGCCGCGCGGCGCCUUCGGACC
This 600-nucleotide ribosomal RNA is filed under the name Carex peregrina. RNAcentral describes it as "eukaryotic LSU rRNA". The stretch from base 218 to 372 matches the Rfam family "5.8S ribosomal RNA". Lineage: Eukaryota; Viridiplantae; Streptophyta; Magnoliopsida; Poales; Cyperaceae. The record is from RNAcentral.